Long non-coding RNA from Heterocephalus glaber (naked mole-rat), 453 nucleotides. RefSeq lists it as uncharacterized. NCBI's taxonomy places the organism in Eukaryota, Metazoa, Chordata, Mammalia, Rodentia, Bathyergidae. The record is from RefSeq and is a predicted model, not a curated record.
AACUGGGUUACCAUCCCCUGGGGUUUACUAAGGCACCUGGCCCAUCCCUUGGAUCUGCUCUUCAACCAGAGGCAGAGCUCUUGGGUCAGGUCCACUAGAGACACAGAAGGCCCUCUAUGGCUGACCAUGGACUGAAACUUCUGAAAUUCCCAUGGGACACCUCCAUUGGACUUCAGAUCAUCUUCAGUGGCAACGUUUGUACAAAAGAGGAAGCACCUUAACACAGAUAGACUGAAGACCUGAAAUGAAUUUCCCUAUGUGAGCCAGACUGCCAGGCCACACUGUCACCAAGUGUGACCUCAACUGGUGGCUCCUGUUAGAAAUUCAAGCUCCCACCAACUCCCCCUUGCCCAGCCUUCUGAACCAGAAUUUGGAUUUCAGCAAGAUGCUGAUACUCAGGUGGUUCCCAAGCACAUUAAAGUUUGCAAGCACCCACUAAAAGAGACUGCAACU